ACAAUGGUACCACACAGUUCAUUUCCCAUCUGCAAACCCUAAUCAAUGUUGCGGCGCCGUGAUAAACAUUGAAAGGAUCCAUAUAUAAAUAUUGAAGAACCCUAGGCAAUAGUUUGAUUGGGGUUGGGUUGAUGAACGACGCCCUGGGUUCAGAGCUGACAAUCGUCUCUAGUCUCCUUCAGAAUGAAGGAUUUAGAGGUUGCCUUGUGUCCUUUUGAUGGUCCAUAGAUGGUCUCCUGCCAUGCGAUUUUUUCGGUUUCAAGAUGAAGGAUUUUUUUGUCCUUAGAGCUGCAAAUCUUCUCUAUCGUCCUUCAAGAUGAAGGAUUUUUUUGGUUUCUUUGGGCCGUUCUAAUGGCCUGACGAAGAUCUUCUGCCGCUGGAGACCUGGAGGCAGCGUGAAAGCAAAAAAAUUUCUUCUUUUAUUUGCCUCUGCGUUGGUUUAUCUUCUACUUGGCAUCCGCAGACUGAUGAAAUUCUUCGUGAGAGUCAAAUUAGACGCAAGACAAGUUUCCAUUUCUUUGGCUUGCCUUCUUCUGAACCCAAUUGUUGCGGGUUCUACUGGUGUAGAAAUGGGAUGUGGGAAUAACAGAGGAACAGAUGUCGGGUUAACAUGGAUGUGCAGUGAAGAAAUGGUUAUGAAGAACUUUGUUAGUUGGGUCUUUUUCUCAACGCUUGUAAUCUCAAACCGAUCUACUUGGGUCUUUUUCUCAAUCCAACAAUUUGCUGAAUUUAUAGAAUUGUUUUGAUUAUUGGGAUUUCUAAGAUGUUUUCUCUGACCAUAAUAUAUUUGUUAACAAAAAAAAUUAAUGAUAUGCAGCAAUCUCAGUCC
Malania oleifera is the source of this 829-nucleotide long non-coding RNA. RefSeq lists it as uncharacterized. The record is from RefSeq and is a predicted model, not a curated record. NCBI's taxonomy places the organism in Eukaryota, Viridiplantae, Streptophyta, Magnoliopsida, Santalales, Ximeniaceae. The transcript is spliced from 2 exons.